CUUCUUCUUCCUCUUCCUCGUCGUCGUCGUCAGCAUCCUCAUCGUCAUCCUCAUCGUCGUCGGCAUCCUCAUCAUCGUCGUCACGGUAAAGAGAUGAUGGCAUCACUCCAAUAAAUUAUUUAUGUUGAAACAGUAU
This 136-nucleotide non-coding RNA is filed under the name uncultured Mamiellales. The record is from RNAcentral. Lineage: Eukaryota; Viridiplantae; Chlorophyta; Mamiellophyceae; Mamiellales.